GUAAUUACCUGGUGGGGAAAUACCAUGAUCAAGAAGGUGGUUUCCCCAGGGUGGGGCUUUUCCAUUGGACACUUCAGUUGGGUUGACCUCUGUGAUUUACCCAAUGGCAGAAGAGACUCAAAUACAUAACUUAUGGUUGACUUGACUGGCAGUUAGUG
This is a small nuclear RNA of Protopterus annectens (West African lungfish), 158 nucleotides long. RefSeq annotates it as U1 spliceosomal RNA. The transcript has a single exon. NCBI's taxonomy places the organism in Eukaryota, Metazoa, Chordata, Ceratodontiformes, Protopteridae. The record is from RefSeq and is a predicted model, not a curated record.